GAUGAACGCUGGCGGCGUGCCUAAUACAUGCAAGUCGAGCGAACAGACGAGGAGCUUGCUCCUCUGACGUUAGCGGCGGACGGGUGAGUAACACGUGGAUAACCUACCUAUAAGACUGGGAUAACUUCGGGAAACCGGAGCUAAUACCGGAUAAUAUUUUGAACCGCAUGGUUCAAUAGUGAAAGACGGUUUUGCUGUCACUUAUAGAUGGAUCCGCGCCGCAUUAGCUAGUUGGUAAGGUAACGGCUUACCAAGGCGACGAUGCGUAGCCGACCUGAGAGGGGGAUCGGCCACACUGGAACUGAGACACGGUCCAGACUCCUACGGGAGGCAGCAGUAGGGAAUCUUCCGCAAUGGGCGAAAGCCUGACGGAGCAACGCCGCGUGAGUGAUGAAGGUCUUCGGAUCGUAAAACUCUGUUAUUAGGGAAGAACAAAUGUGUAAGUAACUAUGCACGUCUUGACGGUACCUAAUCAGAAAGCCACGGCUAACUACGUG
RNAcentral lists this ribosomal RNA (497 nucleotides) under uncultured bacterium. RNAcentral's name for it is "partial 16S ribosomal RNA". It matches the Rfam family "Bacterial small subunit ribosomal RNA", at positions 28 to 507 of the family's 1533-position model. The record is from RNAcentral.